UUAUUUGUCAAAGACAAUCGAUAAAAAUCAAUUAUAAAAUCAAGGUAUUACAAUUCAGAAGUAGUGUUGACAAACGCGUAACGUAUAAUAAUAGUUUAGGAUUUUGUAUUACUAUCGUCGUUGGCGGUUGGAAAGAAAAUAUAGUGAUUUAUUCUUCAAUUAGAAAAUUUCUCUGAAAAGAGAGAGUGGUUUGAAAGUGUUCGCCAUUCUUCUUCGGUGUGAGAAGUCUUUGGGGAAGGGGACGGAAGAGAAAAAAGGAGAUUCGUUCUUUUGGCCUGAUCUUUCCCCUAACUCGACCACCUAAAAUAUCUCGUUUAUUUCGUACGAUAGAAAAUAAUAUCAGAAGAGAGAAAUAUUCUGUUCGAAGGCGCCGAUUAUGGUAAU
Molecule: long non-coding RNA, 384 nt
Filed under: Polistes fuscatus (common paper wasp)
Lineage: Eukaryota; Metazoa; Arthropoda; Insecta; Hymenoptera; Vespidae
Description: uncharacterized LOC122525033
Source: RNAcentral